Molecule: non-coding RNA, 56 nt
Filed under: unclassified sequences
Description: chromate-resist RNA
Rfam family: chrB-b RNA
Source: RNAcentral
CCGGGACAUCCGCAGGCUCCCGGACAAAGGCGGUGUCCAAGUCGCCCAAGCUCUGC